Molecule: long non-coding RNA, 251 nt
Filed under: Lathyrus oleraceus (garden pea)
Lineage: Eukaryota; Viridiplantae; Streptophyta; Magnoliopsida; Fabales; Fabaceae
Description: Pisum sativum (pea) long non-coding RNA (PSAT_LNC021876)
Source: RNAcentral
CAACACGUCUCCAUCUCAUGCAGUCAUUUUCUUCAUCGAGUCCCGUCGCACCUCGAAAAAAUGGGAGCAUGACUUGGCGAAUCGCAAUCGCAGACUCGCAUGAUGGACUAAACAGAGUCGCCACCGAACUUUAUUCAUUCUUAAAAAGGCAAGGGGAAAUAUAGAUAAAACCCAAGAAAGAACGACAAUGAUUAUGGUCGUCGCAACCAAAUCAAGGUUCGGAAGUCGAUUACGCAAGGGGAAGGUAUUAA